This 368-nucleotide ribosomal RNA is filed under the name uncultured bacterium. RNAcentral describes it as "bacterial SSU rRNA". It matches the Rfam family "Bacterial small subunit ribosomal RNA", at positions 335 to 691 of the family's 1533-position model. The record is from RNAcentral.
ACUCCUACGGGAGGCAGCAGUGGGGAAUAUUUGCACAAUGGGGGGAAACCCUGAUGCAGCCAUGCCGCGUGUGUGAAGAAGGCCUUCGGGUUGUAAAGCACUUUCAGUAGGGAGGAAGGUAGUGUAGUUAACACCUGGCAUUAUUUUGACGUUACCUACAGAAGAAGCACCGGCUAACUCCGUGCCAGCAGCCGCGGUAAUACGGAGGGUGCGAGCGUUAAUCGGAAUUACUGGGCGUAAAGCGCAUGCAGGCGGCCUGUUAAGUCAGAUGUGAAAGCCCGGGGCUUAACCUCGGAAUUGCAUUUGAAACUGGCAGGCUAGAGUCUUGUAGAGGGGGGUAGAAUUUCAGGUGUAGCGGUGAAAUGCGU